UACGGAGGAUGCGAGCGUUAUCCGGAUUUAUUGGGUUUAAAGGGUGCGUAGGCGGCACGGCAAGCCGGCGGUCAAAUCGCGGGGCUCAACCCCGCCCAGCUGUCGGAACUGCCGGGCUAGAGUGGGCGAGAAGUGCGCGGAAUGCGUGGUGUAGCGGUGAAAUGCAUAGAUAUCACGCAGAGCUCCGAUUGCGAAGGCAGCGCACCGGCGCCCUACUGACGCUCAGGCACGAAAGCGUGGGUAUCGAACAGG
This 252-nucleotide ribosomal RNA is filed under the name uncultured bacterium. RNAcentral's name for it is "partial 16S ribosomal RNA". It matches the Rfam family "Bacterial small subunit ribosomal RNA", at positions 524 to 776 of the family's 1533-position model. The record is from RNAcentral.